This 279-nucleotide ribosomal RNA is filed under the name uncultured bacterium. Its description in RNAcentral is "partial 16S ribosomal RNA". It matches the Rfam family "Bacterial small subunit ribosomal RNA", at positions 506 to 784 of the family's 1533-position model. The record is from RNAcentral.
UGCCAGCAGCCGCGGUAAUACGGAGGGUGCAAGCGUUGCUCGGAUUUACUGGGCGUAAAGCGACCGCAGGCGGCUUGUCAGGUCCGAUGUGAAAGCCCGAGGCUCAACCUCGGAAGUGCAUCGGAAACCGGCAGGCUUGGGUACGGGAGAGGAGGGCGGAAUUCCUGGUGUAGAGGUGAAAUUCGUAGAUAUCAGGAGGAACACCUGCGGCGAAGGCGGCUCUCUGGCCCGAUACUGACGCUGAGACGCGAAAGCGUGGGUAGCAAACAGGAUUAGAUA